GGGGGCGCACCGGCUUCGACGGGGAACAACGCGGUUCGCAGGUUGCGUGUCGAGUUUCCGCUCGUUAAAACGGAACCCUAUAUGUGCCAACGAUAACUUGGCUCUGGCUGCUUAACUAGCGGCCACGUGCCGGCCGGGGCGUGAUUCGCCGCGUCGGUCGGGGCGACACUAAUGCGGAUCAAUGGGUGCGGCAGGCCUCGGGGUCGCACCCGGAUACUUUCUGAGGCUGGCUUGGUGCAUCGGUUUGCUUUUGUCCACACCGCACCGGGCGAGACUUUCGAACAGAAGCUACUCACGUAGACGCCUGCGGGACGAGUUCUUCGGACGUGGGUUCGACUCCCACCGCCUCCACCA
Molecule: transfer-messenger RNA, 354 nt
Filed under: Acidobacteriota bacterium
Lineage: Bacteria; Pseudomonadati; Acidobacteriota
Rfam family: transfer-messenger RNA
About the family: Bacterial tmRNA, also known as 10Sa RNA or SsrA, is named for its dual tRNA and mRNA-like properties. Its role is to liberate the mRNA from a stalled ribosome.
Source: RNAcentral